GAUGAACGCUGGCGGCGUGCCUAAUACAUGCAAGUCGAGCGAACGGACGAGAAGCUUGCUUCUCUGAUGUUAGCGGCGGACGGGUGAGUAACACGUGGAUAACCUACCUAUAAGACUGGGAUAACUUCGGGAAACCGUAGCUAAUACCGGAUAAUAUUUUGAACCGCAUGGUUCAAAAGUGAAAGACGGUCUUGCUGUCACUUAUAGAUGGAUCCGCGCUGCAUUAGCUAGUUGGUAAGGUAACGGCUUACCAAGGCAACGAUGCAUAGCCGACCUGAGAGGGUGAUCGGCCACACUGGAACUGAGACACGGUCCAGACUCCUACGGGAGGCAGCAGUAGGGAAUCUUCCGCAAUGGACGAAAGCCUGACGGAGCAACGCCGCGUGAGUGAUGAAGGUCUUCGGAUCGUAAAACUCUGUUAUUAGGGAAGAACAUAUGUGUAAGUAACUGUGCACAUCUUGACGGUACCUAAUCAGAAAGCCACGGCUAACUACGUG
This 497-nucleotide ribosomal RNA is filed under the name uncultured bacterium. RNAcentral's name for it is "partial 16S ribosomal RNA". It matches the Rfam family "Bacterial small subunit ribosomal RNA", at positions 28 to 507 of the family's 1533-position model. The record is from RNAcentral.